AGUAAAGAAGUAAUUUCUACAUUUAGUUUCGACCUAAAAAUUAAACACAUGUUCAUACUUUA
Molecule: transfer RNA, 62 nt
Filed under: Trioza remota
Lineage: Eukaryota; Metazoa; Arthropoda; Insecta; Hemiptera; Triozidae
Description: tRNA-Arg
Source: RNAcentral